Manacus vitellinus (golden-collared manakin) is the source of this 249-nucleotide long non-coding RNA. RefSeq lists it as uncharacterized. NCBI's taxonomy places the organism in Eukaryota, Metazoa, Chordata, Aves, Passeriformes, Pipridae. The record is from RefSeq and is a predicted model, not a curated record. The transcript has 3 exons.
CGCAGGAGGUGGGUUGGAGUUGCCUCGGUAACGUUCGUGCUGCCGCAGGGACAUUCCUGGUCCCUAAACCAGGAAAAACAGCCCUGGCUCUGCAGGAGGACGAGGGCUAUUCGGAGUCUCCAGACCUGGAGUUUGAAUAUGCAGACACGGAUAAAUGGGCAGCAGAGCUGUCAGAGCUUUACAGCUACACAGAGGGGCCAGAAUUCCUGCUCAACCGAAAGUGCUUUGAGGAGGACUUCAGGAUCCACA